GGAAGUAAAAGUUAACAAGGUUUCCGUAGGUGAACCUGCGGAAGGAUCAUUCAUAAUAAGUGUUUUAUGGCACUUUUUUAAAUCCAUAUCCACCUUGUGUGCAAUGUCAGGGUUGAUUUUUCUCUCGAGAGGAUCAACCCCAAACAUCAACUAUAUCUCAACUCUUUGUCUGAAAAAUAUUAUGAAUAAAACAAUUCAAAAUACAACUUUCAACAACGGAUCUCUUGGCUCUC
Molecule: unclassified non-coding RNA, 233 nt
Filed under: plant metagenome
Description: partial contains small subunit ribosomal RNA, internal transcribed spacer 1, and 5.8S ribosomal RNA
Rfam family: Eukaryotic small subunit ribosomal RNA (bases 1-52)
Source: RNAcentral